CUACGGGUCGCUGCAGUAGGGAAUAUUGGACAAUGGGCGAAAGCCUGAUCCAGCAACACCGCGUGCACGAUGACGGCCUUCGGGUUGUAAAGUGCUUUUAGAGGAGAUGAGAAAGGACAGUAUCCUCUGAAUAAGCCUCGGCGAACUACGUGCCAGCAGCCGCGGUAAAACGUAGGAGGCAAGCGUUAUCCGGAUUUAUUGGGCGUAAAGCGCGUGCAGGCGGUCUAGCAAGUUGGAUGUGAAAGCUCCCGGCUCAACUGGGAGAGGUCGUUCAAUACUGUUAGACUAGAGAAUAGGAGAGGGAGGUGGAAUUCCGGGUGUAGUGGUGAAAUGCGUAGAUAUCCGGAGGAACACCAGUGGCGAAAGCGGCCUCCUGGACUAUUUCUGACGCUAAGACGCGAAAGCUAGGGUAGCAAACGGGAUUAGAUACCCUCGUAGUC
RNAcentral lists this ribosomal RNA (440 nucleotides) under uncultured bacterium. RNAcentral describes it as "partial 16S ribosomal RNA". It matches the Rfam family "Bacterial small subunit ribosomal RNA", at positions 339 to 795 of the family's 1533-position model. The record is from RNAcentral.